Molecule: long non-coding RNA, 907 nt
Organism: Parus major (Great Tit)
Lineage: Eukaryota; Metazoa; Chordata; Aves; Passeriformes; Paridae
Exons: 3
Source: RefSeq, a predicted model, not a curated record
CACACCUGACAGUGAGGGGUGACACAGCUCUUCCUGUAAGGGAAAACAUCUCUUCUUCCGUGAGGGGAGAGCGCCCGGCCCCGAGAGCGGGAAAGCGUUCCUGCCGUGAGGGGAGACAGCCCAGCCCCAAGGGCGGGAAACGCCUCAUGAUCCCGAGGGCGGGAAAACGUUCCAGCUGUGAGGGACGUGGACCCGCAUCCCUGAGGGGCGGUCCUACAGAUCCCCCACAAGGUGUCAUUCCGUUCUCUAUUUCAGGUUAGAAAUAUGUUCAGAGACUAGUGUCCGAACGGCACCUCUCCAGGACUAGUGCUGCCACAUACACACCUGGAGUCUCCAACAUCUGUGGCACAGAGCCUGUCAAGCCUCCUACUAAUACCAGUCCAGAUGCUGAUGGCUCUAUCUUUCCCAGGCAAAGGAGGCUGGAAUCUCCAAGGACAACCAUUUUUCCAGCAAUGCCUUUGGACAUUGCAAAUUUUUCAUCUUGACAAGGAAUAGACAUAACAGAGAACUGCAGAUGGAGCUGCAACAGAUGCAUUUGCCACUUAAAAACAAUAAAUGAUCAGCUACCCAGGCACUUGUGGUAAGGUGUGUCACAAUCCUCUCUGGCAAACUCAGCUGCACAAGAUGCCCAAGUCCAUAAUAAGCAGUUUCUGUGUGAGUAACUGCAGGCUGCCAAGGGACUGUGCUUCCCUGAUUUCCUAGAACAGCAGAAUCCCUAGGAAUGACCUUUGCGAGUUUGCUGUCAUCACAUGCUCCUCUGGGGCUGCUUUCUGUUUGGCAAGAGAGUGAGACAGAAAAAUCCAUCUCAAUGGCUCAAGAGGAGCAGAAAAAUAACCCUAAUGUCUCUUUCCCCAAAGUUGGCUGCAUUUCUGUCAUGUCCAAGGAAUUAAUAUUUAUUUCAAAGAGC